This 264-nucleotide unclassified non-coding RNA is filed under the name Hevea brasiliensis (rubber tree). The record is from RNAcentral. Lineage: Eukaryota; Viridiplantae; Streptophyta; Magnoliopsida; Malpighiales; Euphorbiaceae.
AGGAGCUAUUAUUAUUGCCUUGGGGUUUUAUGCUGUGGUAUGGGGCAAAAGCCAAGAAGAAAGGAUGGUUGAAGACAAAGAGAAGUGUUGCUUGGAGUCAUCUUCCCCGAAAGUCCCUCUUCUGCAGAACAAAUGCACAAAUAUAUAGAGAAUUUUUGCAUGAAAUGCGCUCACACGCACACACACACACACAUAUAUAUAUAUAUAAUUAGUAGAGGAUUGAGCCUUGAUGGAGUGGGAUUCAAAUCUAAGAGACCAAGCCCA